RNAcentral lists this ribosomal RNA (253 nucleotides) under uncultured bacterium. RNAcentral's name for it is "partial 16S ribosomal RNA". It matches the Rfam family "Bacterial small subunit ribosomal RNA", at positions 524 to 776 of the family's 1533-position model. The record is from RNAcentral.
UACGGGGGGGGCAAGCGUUGUUCGGAAUUACUGGGCGUAAAGGGUGCGUAGGCGGCUUUCUAAGUUGGAUGUGAAAACUCUGGGCUCAACACAGAGCCUGCAUCCAAAACUGGAGAACUAGGGUUCUGGAGGGGAAAGCGGAAUUCCUGGUGUAGCGGUGAAAUGCGUAGAUAUCAGGAGGAACACCGGUGGCGAAGGCGGCUUUCUGGACAGAUACCGACGCUGAGGCACGAAAGCUAGGGGAGCAAACAGG